This is a long non-coding RNA of Pseudopipra pipra, 605 nucleotides long. RefSeq lists it as uncharacterized. The transcript is spliced from 3 exons. Lineage: Eukaryota; Metazoa; Chordata; Aves; Passeriformes; Pipridae. The record is from RefSeq and is a predicted model, not a curated record.
UUUUGCUUUUUUCGGGUCAGAUUUUGGACCAUUUUGGAGUUAGUUUUUGGGGUGAUUUGGGCCAGUUUUGUGUCAGUUCUGGAUCAAUUUUUGGGGUGAUUUGGGUGAGUUUUUGGGUCAUUUUGUGGGGAGAUCUGAGUCAGUUUCUGGUCAUUUUUUGGGGAGAUUUGUUUGAGUUUCUGGUCAUUUUUUGGGGAGAUUUGGGUGAGUUUUGGGGUAAUUUUUUGGGGUAAUUUUGGGUGAGUUUCUGGUCAUUUUUUGGGGAGACUUGGCUGACUUUUGGGUCAUUUUUUUGGGAGAUUUGGGUGAGUUCUGGGUCAUUUUUUGGGGUAAUUUUGGGUCUGUUUCUGGUCAUUGUUUGGGGAGAUUUGGGUGAGUUCUGGGUCAUUUUUGGGGGUAAUUUUGGGUCAGUUUCUGGUCCUUUUUUGGAGGAGAUUUGGGUGAGUUCUGGGUCAUUUUUUGGGGAGAUUUUGGGUCUGUUUCUGGUCAUUUUUUGGGGAGAUUUGGGUGAGUUCUGGGUCAUUUUUGGGGGUAAUUUUGGGUCAGUUUCUGGUCAUUUUUUAGGGAGAUUUUUAUCACUUUUGGGUCAUUUUUGGGGUAAUUUU